AUCCCACUGCCUCCUCUUGUGGGGAAGAGCGAGAAGGACGCUUGAGUUGAAAAGGAGCAAAUUGGGCUCUAGAGAAGCCAUCCCUGUGCCCACAGCUGUGGAUGUGACCAAGCUAGCAAAGGAGCUCUGCCAUUGUGUUCCUGCGUUACCCUGGUGCUACAGGUGGCCUCCACCAACAUGGAUAGGUGCUCAUGCUUAGCUGGCCAGUGGAGCAGGGCUUUACACUCCACCAAUGUGACAUCAAUAAGCUUGCCUGUUGUGUGCUGCAGAAAUGAUCCCACAGUGCUCAGGUCCUAGGAGCAGUGGUUACUCACCCUCGAGGCUUGAGAGUGUAAUGCAGAGGAAAUGAAAGCAAUGACUUGUGCUGAUGGAAAAGCCAACAGCUGGAUGUGCCUCUUUCGUGCAGGCCAGACUGUUCUCAACCAAAGGGGUCUGCCCUCUCUUGCAGCCCAUCAGUGGAGUUCAAGAGAGCAACUGCCUGUAAAGGAGUGGAGUGGAAACAGUUCCCAGAAAUGCACUACAACUGAAAUGGAAAGAAUCAGAAGGACUCAAGGCUGA
Molecule: long non-coding RNA, 558 nt
Filed under: Phasianus colchicus (ring-necked pheasant)
Lineage: Eukaryota; Metazoa; Chordata; Aves; Galliformes; Phasianidae
Description: lncRNA (ENSPCLG00000020910.1)
Source: RNAcentral